This 73-nucleotide transfer RNA is filed under the name Canis lupus familiaris (dog). It matches the Rfam family "tRNA". Rfam says of the family: Transfer RNA (tRNA) molecules are approximately 80 nucleotides in length. Their secondary structure includes four short double-helical elements and three loops (D, anti-codon, and T loops). RNAcentral also lists the same sequence under 1 other name. The record is from Rfam by way of RNAcentral. Lineage: Eukaryota; Metazoa; Chordata; Mammalia; Carnivora; Canidae.
GCCUGGCUGGCUCAGUCCAUGGAGCUUGAGACUCUUGAUCUCAGGGUUGUAAGUUCGAGCCCCACGUUGGGUG